Molecule: transfer RNA, 73 nt
Filed under: Sphaerodactylus townsendi
Lineage: Eukaryota; Metazoa; Chordata; Lepidosauria; Squamata; Sphaerodactylidae
Description: tRNA-Ala
Source: RNAcentral
GCAUAACUCCAUGGCUCAGCAGAGCAUCUGCUUGGCAUGCAGAAGGUCCCAGGGUCGAUCCCCGGCAUCUCCA